UCAUCCUCUCAGUCUCCCUCUCUCUCUCAUCCUCUCAGUCUCACUCUCUCUCUCUCUGUUCUUAUAAUCUACCAGAGGAAGUGGGAGUAUUUGUUGCCCUCACUCUUGGUGUUGAGGGAAAGGAGGCAAAAGGAGGUAGGAGCACAUAGCAUGUCUUCAUUAAAGUGUCACCUCCCAUUAUUUGGCUCCUAUCUCAAUUAGCAAUAGCUUUAAUAAUGGGUCUCCAUCUCUCCUUCUCUCUCUCUCUCUCUCAUUCUACUCUCUUAUUCCCCCUCUCCUUUCCUCUCUCCCUCCAUGGCGUCUGGAUGCUUGUGGGGAGCGGCGUGAGGCAAGAAAGAGAGCGAAGCAGCACAUCUGUGCUGUUUUCACCAGAGCAGCUCUCCUGCUCUCUCUCUCUCUCUCUCUCUCUCUCUCUCUCUCUCUCCCUCCAUCUCUCUCUCUCUCUCUCUCUCUCUCUCUCUCUCUCUCUCUCUCUCUCCCCCUCUGAGAGCAAUUAGGACGAGCUGCCGGUGGCUGGGCUGCUGGCAGAGGCGCUGGAUCCCCCUAUAAUCACCCGCGCAUCAGAGCCAGCACUCCGCUACAGCACCGCAGGUCACACAGGGCCCCACGCUACACCACCAGAGACGCCGCGCGCAAUGGAGUGUGCUGAGGAGGAGAGGAGGCAGUGAACACAGGCGAUGACUCUCCUCAGCCAUUAGCCCAUCUCUGUCUGCUCUGCUGUGUGUCUGUCUGGAGGGCUGGACCGCUGCGGCAGACGACCAGCAGCAAGGUGCUGUGGCCACCUGUCCAGCCCAGUGGAGGUCCACGCAGCUUGGACACACCACACGCCACUUCCCCAGAGUGGACUAGGGCCAUGGCACUGAGAGAGAGAAUGAGACGGAGAGCAUGGCGUUGGGCUCUAUGUGGGUCACAGCUGAGGACCUCCAGGAGGACAAUGGAACAGUGUCAGCCGCCCACAGUGAUGAAUGUGAGGGACCCAAGUCUCUCCUCUCGCGCUCCCUCAGCCCCUACCGCUGCCACCUCCACCAGUCUAAGGAUCAAAUCACAGAUGUACCUACCAGAGUUGCUGUGAGUGAUCAUUCACUGGUGUGUAUGCUAAGAAGGGACAAAUGACCCACCAAGACAUGGAUGACAGAUGGUACUGUAAUCUCAGCAGCAACAUGUCAAUUAACCUCCACUUCUGCUUGACAAUGAUUUACAUUUGUUUUGUGGCAGUCAAUACAUUGCAGCGUUGUGCAGUUCUAAGUGUGACUGAGUCUGUUCUGCAGAGUCUCCCUAAACCUGAUAAAGUCUCUUUGCAGACUGCAGUUAGGGACAUUGAUAUUGUGGAGGAGUCAGUGGUAGGAUUACACCAAGUGUCACAGUGUAAACCUUGCAAAGGAAGGACGAACAAGUGUUAAACCUUGUCUCCCCUGUCCUUACAACCAAGACUUGAGAAAGUCAUUCAUUUCUUCUGCAAGCUCCACGUGGUCUCACCCCUGGCAACCUAAGCAGACUGAUUUUACAGGGCAUUUGAUCUUUCCCCUCGGAGAUCUGGGGGGAAAACGAGUUUCUCCUUGAAUGAAAAUCACUGACGGCAGUUAAACCCUCUCCAGGUGAGAAGCUGAAGUCAGACUUGGUUUCACUUUCCAGUUUGCUUCUCCACCCUCAGCGUCUUUACAUCAAAUCUUCCACCUGAGAACACGCGCUCUGUGAUCCACACCAGGUGGACGACUUGACUUUGACAAAUGUAGGAAAACUGACCUUCAUGUAUCCACUCCGAUUGAAAUCACAAUACUAUGCAUGCCGACAUGUUUCACUUUGUAUCAGGUCAUGUGUUGCCAAGUCCUGCUGCCUCAGAAAGCACAUAAAGGAGUGGAGUGGUGUGGGUCUCCCAGCAUGUGGCCGUGCCUGUGUUGGGCCCUUACUUAGGUUUCUAAUCAGUUCGCAUGAUUGAGCUGACAUUGCCUUGACGCGGGCCUUAAUUCCUUUUUUUGCCCUCCUAUAUCAAACGGACGGCACGAUCCUUCAAAGGGACCCCCUCGUCAAAGUUUCAGAAGGCCUCUGUCAGCGUGAAAAGAACAUGACCUUUAAGUUGUAUCAGCAUGUUUGCUGGUGCAUACGGAGGAGCAGAAAGGUUCAGCAGCCUGACAAAGAAGAGAAAAAAACAAGGAAAGGAAGAAGGGGGAAAAAAGCAGGCCCUCUCGAAAAAUAACAUCAUUUACUAAGAGGUCUCAGCACAGAGCAGUUUGUUGACACUCGGCACCAUGCCUUUAAUACCGUUCACUCCAGAGACUUUUGGAUGAAAUGUUUGUCAGUAGCCUUCUGCAUCUGCAUUGGAGCUGAAGGGCUGGUGACUAAGCACGGUUUCAUAAAUAAAAUAAUAACAUGUGUUUUUAUCUGUAUCUUUUAACACACAAACGUUCUAAUAGUUUAUUGAUGGUGCUUUCUGGUGGAACUGACAAGCUGAACCUUUUAGGCCACUUUGACUUAAAGCCCAUUUCCAAAUGUGCUAAUCCCCUACUGGAGUCAGUAAUGGUUAUCACUAUGCUGCCCAAACUGUGAAGCUGUCUGCUCUCCAUGCUUGUGUGCAUGGUUUGUGAUUUAAGUGAGACAAGGUGAAUUGCAAAGCUGCUGCAUCUCUGGCAACUCUGCCAAAUGGACCUAUCAAGCUCUGUGAGAGAGCCAUCAAGGUAGACAUCUGCUCAUGGAUAAGCAAAAGUCUCAAUAAGUGUCUCAAACAUGAUUCUUUUACACUAACACUAACUAGUACUACUCUUCUAGUCCAGUACUAUCUUGCUAUCUUCAUGUGUUGUUUUGGUGUUGAUUACAUGCUGAUUACACACAACAAAUAUUUUUUUAAAAAAUGGGACAUUGAAAGGCUCUCCUAAAUAGUAGUAUGACAUCUAAAAUGACCACACUAUUAAUAUUGAUAUAAAAAUGAUCCACAUAAAAAUGCCUAAUUCUACACCAGGAUAGUACACAAAAGAGGUCACAUCAAUAACUCCACAAAGAUGGACCUUGUUAACAUCUUGGGGUUGGAAUCCCCCCCAAAUAAUAAUCUACUGAUUUUCUCCAUCUGGUCAUUGAAGUCAUGCGAUUGGCAUGCGCAACACAUUGCCUGGGAGUGUUGCUGACUGGCCUGACAGUGAAGUCCCUCAAUCCCAGCCGAUCAGUCAUUCUUAUGGAGGUCUGAUGGGGAACAGCAUCAGAGGGGAGGAAGGGAGAGAGAGAGAGAGGGAGAGAGAGAGGACUUCAGAUAAGCAAAACAAUCUGCUGUACCUGUGUCAGUGGAGCAGCAGGGAACAGAUUGAGAUACAGCGAUAAACCAGAGCUAGAAAUGGCAUAACGUAAGAGUCAAGUGGGCGAUAUGCAUUGGAGAGUUUAUUUCAGGGUUUAGGUUGAGGUCUGAGCCCGCACUUCACUCCUCUGUAAAACACUUGAGUCCAUUAGCUUGUCAAGCUAGAAGCCUUUGACAUUAUUGACCAUAACUGACUCACAAACUACAGCUCUUUAGAUGAAAACAGAUGUUUGAGCAGAGCACGGCACAUACAGCACGAAUUGAAACAUUUCAAUGCAGCGCACACCUCACCUUUAAUAUUCACAUAUUCCACCUUUUCCUUGCACUGAAAAAAAUAAAUAGAAUUAUCAUAUGCAUUUUAUAAAAUGGAGGAAGACAUGUUCCUUUUGUGAGCUUUGGUGCUAGCCCAAAAGAGAAGGGAGGAAAACAAAAUAAGCAAAAAGACAAAUGCGACCUUUAGAGAUUACUGGAAGAAAGCCCAUUAUGCUGAAGUUUACAGGGUAAUCCCCACUGUGCGUAUGCGCAGAUGGGCAGGCGAGCUGGGCUCAGGUCGCUGUUAUUUGCAUUGCGCUGAUGCAUUAGCAUAGUGCACAGGUUCCUCUCUGCCAUGGAUUAGCACGCUUUGCACUUUUAUCAGCGACUCAACCUGCAGCACAAUAGAUUGCUCUGGGUUUUUUCCAUUCUUUUUCUCACUUUCUUUUAUUUUUUUUAUAAAACACGAGGCAUAUGGAAACGUGAUGCAGAUCUUGAUCGCCAUAGUGCUUUGGGAGAUGCACUACCCCGGACCCAAGUUAGACCUUAUUUUUAUCAUGCUGGGUACUGCAUAUUUCAGCUAUGCUCUGCCUUGGGACAUUUUUCCUUGAGAACGAUAGGUACCCCACACCAUCCUAACAGAUACUCUGUGACACAAUGUAAAUCCUAAUCACUGCUUGCUUGGGGGAAAUAUGUGACCAGUGGAAAAUAAUGUGCUUCAAAAGAUUUUUUUUAAAGCAGUUAUAAAAACAUGCUAGCCCUGCAGUUUUGUGAAAUGAAUCCAGGCAAUGUGUACUUUUGCAGAACAAAGGAAAGCUGGCCUAUCAUUGCUUGGAAUCUCAAAAAAACAAAGAUGGAGUGGCGUUGUGCGUGAGAAGAACCGAAUGGCCAGCUUGUUGUCGUGGGGUGGGUGUUCGGAGGAGGUGCUGUGAGCUGGCCGGCGGGAAGGGGAUGAGACACAGACGGCCUCUGGACACGGGGUGUGGGCGGUGACUGAUGACCACUCACCAGAGGAGGAUCAACUCUCGGCGGGACUCAAUAAAGACAUGGGGGGGUGGAGGUGGGGGCACCCUGGGAGCACUCGCCACCUGAACCCACGCUUGUUAGAGUACGGGUGUUUGCAAAGCGUAGGCUGGUGUCAGGGCCCCCAAAACACGAGUGUCAAUACAUUUACAUCAGCCUGUGAUGUGACCUCUCCUCAGGAGACACCGUCCCAAUUGGAAAAUGUCACGAUAAGGGGGCCAGCUACUGGAGCUGUGUUGACAUGAGCGCACUGCAUUUACUGUGAUGUACCUGUCAGGAUUCUGAUUGUAGCUUGCGCUCAGAAAGUUCAUGCAUUGCCAACCCAACGGUCAAAUGACCAAGCCAGGCCUCAAUAUCUGAUGUAAUUCCGCUGAGCCGGAAGAAUCACCGAUUUCUCAAAGUAAAAUAUUCUCAUAAAUUACACUGGAGACAGAUUAUUCUAAAUGCAACUGGAUCAAAGGCUAAAGAUAAAGCCAUGGUAGGGGUCAACAAAAUAAACCUGAAUGCAGAAAGCUAAAACUGAAUAAAGUGUUGCCAAACAAGCCAAACUACUUGUUUACUUUCACACAGGGUGUACUCUUAAUCUUCAUAUGAAGGAGAUCAGCCUGAUAGAGCAAUGGGUUUCAUUAAAGUUUUCCACUGCUUCAUUUACACACUGUUUAAUGGGUGUUGGUAGGAGAUGUUACAUUUUUUAUUUUCUACAGUUUGUAGUCUAUGUAUGCCAUGUUUCCUAAGCUACAUGCGUCAUGCAUCUUACAAUAAUACAACUUAGUAUCUUAAAAUAAUGAGAAAAUCGAGACAGUAUCUUGAAAUUACGAUCUGGAAGUAAUAUUUAGCUGUGUACAGUAUGUAGUCAAUACGUGUGUCAUGUAGUGUAUUCAGUCCUUGUCUUAUUUCAAGAUAAUUAUGUAAUUAGUAAUUACGAUUUACUACCUUGAAAUAAUGAGAUAAUAUUUUGAAAUGACGGCUUUUUAUCUGGAAAUAAGAUGAAAUUUUGAAGGGUGUAUGCUAUUCGUACCCUGGUGCAAUUAGAAGUGAAUGCUAUUCGUACCCCGGUGCACACG
This is a long non-coding RNA of Alosa sapidissima (American shad), 5619 nucleotides long. RefSeq lists it as uncharacterized. The record is from RefSeq and is a predicted model, not a curated record. The transcript is spliced from 4 exons. NCBI's taxonomy places the organism in Eukaryota, Metazoa, Chordata, Actinopteri, Clupeiformes, Clupeidae.